Non-coding RNA from Podarcis lilfordi (Lilford's wall lizard), 71 nucleotides. The record is from the annotation of a GenBank genome assembly. Lineage: Eukaryota; Metazoa; Chordata; Lepidosauria; Squamata; Lacertidae.
GGGCCCUAGGUGAGAGGUAGAACACCUGCUUUGCAUGCAGAAGGUCCCAGGUUCAAUCCCUGGCAUCUCCU